GACGGGGGGGGCAAGUGUUCUUCGGAAUGACUGGGCGUAAAGGGCACGUAGGCGGUGAAUCGGGUUGAAAGUGAAAGUCGCCAAAAACUGGCGGAAUGCUCUCGAAACCAAUUCACUUGAGUGAGACAGAGGAGAGUGGAAUUUCGUGUGUAGGGGUGAAAUCCCGAGAUCUACGAAGGAACGCCAAAAGCGAAGGCAGCUCGCUGGGACGUAACUGACGCUGAGACGCGAAAGCGUGGGGAGCAAACAGG
This 251-nucleotide ribosomal RNA is filed under the name uncultured bacterium. RNAcentral describes it as "partial 16S ribosomal RNA". It matches the Rfam family "Bacterial small subunit ribosomal RNA", at positions 524 to 776 of the family's 1533-position model. The record is from RNAcentral.